GACGUAGGGGGCCAGCGUUGCUCGGAAUUACUGGGCGUAAAGCGCGCGUAGGCGGCUUUGCAAGUCGGGUGUGAAAUCCCCAGGCUUAACCUGGGAACUGCAUUCGAGACUGCAUUGCUAGAGUAUGGGAGAGGGAAGUGGAAUUUCCGGUGUAGCGGUGAAAUGCGUAGAUAUCGGAAGGAACAUCAGUGGCGAAAGCGACUUCCUGGACCAAUACUGACGCUCAUGUGCGAAAGCGUGGGGAGCAAACGGG
Molecule: ribosomal RNA, 253 nt
Filed under: uncultured bacterium
Lineage: Bacteria
Description: partial 16S ribosomal RNA
Rfam family: Bacterial small subunit ribosomal RNA
Source: RNAcentral